CUACGGCACAAAUUAAAGUCUAGCCUUUUCACAUUAAUAUACGUUAUUUUCAUAAAUCUAUUCUAAAUAAUUUUAAACAAUUUUAAAUCAAACGGUAUUUUUUCUUAUUUGCCAUAAAAAAAAACAAUUAUUUGCAUUACUUAUUUUAAACAGAUCGAUUGUUUUUCAAUGGUCGGUGCCUGUCAGCAUUUAUAAAACCGUGUUUGCCAGAAAGAAAG
RNAcentral lists this long non-coding RNA (218 nucleotides) under Mytilus galloprovincialis (Mediterranean mussel). Lineage: Eukaryota; Metazoa; Mollusca; Bivalvia; Mytilida; Mytilidae. The record is from RNAcentral.